Molecule: non-coding RNA, 133 nt
Filed under: uncultured Isochrysis
Lineage: Eukaryota; Haptophyta; Isochrysidales
Source: RNAcentral
GCGUCGCCGCCAACCACUUCAUCCCGGGCGCCCUUCCGGGCUGCAUCUACUCGUAGAUAUUGCCUGGCACAUCAUGCAGUAACUUUGAGCGCAUCGUUGCCCGGUCCUGUCGCCGGUGGUGUGGUGUUCGGAG